Long non-coding RNA from Ictalurus punctatus (channel catfish), 1129 nucleotides. RefSeq lists it as uncharacterized. NCBI's taxonomy places the organism in Eukaryota, Metazoa, Chordata, Actinopteri, Siluriformes, Ictaluridae. The transcript is spliced from 4 exons. The record is from RefSeq and is a predicted model, not a curated record.
UGUAAAUAUGAGGAAAUGAAAGCUGAAGUUCUGAUCUAUCGUCUCAUAUUCGUCUUUUAUCUCAAACCCAAAUGUCUUCAGUAUACAGCAAAAGCAAGUGAAUUGGCCUUGAUGUUCCAAUACUUUUGAAGAGGACUCUAAUUGUAAGAAUUAAAUAUAAUUUCCGUACUGAACAAAGACUGAUUAUCUGUUCAGGCGUUAUUGUGCAGAUCCACAUUUAAGCAUCUUACUAUACACCGAGUUCAAAGAGCUUUUUCUCAUCCCCAUCCUGGAUCGCCCCUACAGCUGCCUGUUUGGUACAUUCCUCUACAGCAGUGAGCAGGAGAGAAUGGAAAAGGACGUACAGGGUAAAACAGUCACUGUGGUCCUACGUUAACAGUCAGCCGGAGGACUUCACUAACCCGUUCUAUGUGGACUGUAAAAACCAGGUGCUGUAUCCACUGGCCAGUCUCACACAUCUGGAGCUCUGGGUGGGUUAUUAUGUGCGUUGGAACCCACGCAUGAGACCACAGAUGCCGCUCCAUCAGAAUCUGAGAGAGUUAUUGUUUUUGCAUGAAGAACGUGGAGGAGCUCCAGAGAGAGGCCACGUCAUCCUGCUCCAUCUCCUCAUCCUCAGAGCAUACUUCUCCCUCCUCACAUAGUGGUUUGGCAUGCUGUGCAUCCUGAGAUGCUUUUCUGCUCACCAUGUAUGUAAAGAGAGCUUAUUUGAUGUUACCAUGGCCGUCCUAUUAACUUGACCCAGUCUGGCCAUUCUCCUUUCGUCAACAAGGUGUUUCCACCCCGAGAACUGCCACUUACCGGAUGUUUUUUCACACAAGUGUGUGUGUGUGUGUGUGUGGUGUGGAAAUCCUAGGAGAGCCGAAGUUUCUGGAGUACUCAGACAAGACCAUUUAGAAUCUACAACCAUGCCACGGAUAAAAUCACUGGAUUACAUUCUGGUGUUUGAUGUGAAUAUUGACUGAAGCUCUUCAUCUGAUCCUGCUUGAUGUUGUACACUGUGGUGUUGCCAUAUGAUUGGCUGAUUGGAUAAUUGUAUGAAUGAGCACAUGUACAAGUGAUCAGUGAGCACAUCUAUCUACCAUAGAGGUAUUUUGGGGCAAUACUUGACAAUGUACCUGACUUUGUUACA